GAUGAACGCUAGCGGGAGGCUUAACACAUGCAAGUCGAGGGGUAACAUGAUGUAGCAAUACGUUGAUGACGACCGGCGUACGGGUGAGUAACGCGUAUGCAACCUACCCUGUACUGGGGGAUAGCCCGGAGAAAUUCGGAUUAAUACCCCAUAAAGAUAUUUGGAGGCAUCUUUGAAUAUUUAAAGCUUCGGCGGUACGGGAUGGGCAUGCGUAACAUUAGCUGGUUGGUAGGGUAACGGCCUACCAAGGCGACGAUGUUUAGGGGUCCUGAGAGGGUGAUCCCCCACACUGGUACUGAGACACGGACCAGACUCCUACGGGUGGCUG
Molecule: ribosomal RNA, 328 nt
Filed under: uncultured Bacteroidota bacterium
Lineage: Bacteria; Pseudomonadati; Bacteroidota
Description: bacterial SSU rRNA
Rfam family: Bacterial small subunit ribosomal RNA
Source: RNAcentral